This 253-nucleotide ribosomal RNA is filed under the name uncultured bacterium. Its description in RNAcentral is "partial 16S ribosomal RNA". It matches the Rfam family "Bacterial small subunit ribosomal RNA", at positions 524 to 776 of the family's 1533-position model. The record is from RNAcentral.
UACGUAGGGGGCAAGCGUUGUCCGGAAUCAUUGGGCGUAAAGAGCGUGUAGGCGGCCUGGUAAGUCCGCUGUGAAAGUCCAGGGCUCAACCCUGGAAUGCCGGUGGAAACUGUCAGGCUCGAGUCCGGAAGAGGCGAGUGGAAUUCCUGGUGUAGCGGUGAAAUGCGCAGAUAUCAGGAGGAACACCAAUGGCGGAGGCAGCUCGCUGGGACGGUACUGACGCUGAGACGCGAAAGCGUGGGGAGCGAACAGG